RNAcentral lists this ribosomal RNA (379 nucleotides) under uncultured eukaryote. RNAcentral's name for it is "partial 18S ribosomal RNA". It matches the Rfam family "Eukaryotic small subunit ribosomal RNA", at positions 592 to 975 of the family's 1831-position model. The record is from RNAcentral.
CAAUAGCGUAUAUUUAAGUUGUUGCAGUUAAAAAGCUCGUAGUUGGAUUUCUGCUGAGAACGACCGGUCCGCCCUCUGGGUGUGUAUCUGGCUCUUUCUUGGCAUCUUCUUGGUGAACGUUGCUGCACUUGACUGUGUGGAGCGCUACCCAGGACUUUUACUUUGAGGAAAUUAGAGUGUUUCAAGCAGGCAUACGCCUUGAAUACAUUAGCAUGGAAUAAUAAGAUAGGACCUCGGUUCUAUUUUGCUGGUUUCUAGAGCUGAGGUAAUGAUUAAUAGGGAUAGUUGGGGGCAUUCGUAUUUAACUGUCAGAGGUGAAAUUCUUGGAUUUGUUAAAGACGGACUACUGCGAANGNAUUUGGNAAGGAUGUUUNCAUUG